Molecule: ribosomal RNA, 751 nt
Filed under: uncultured archaeon
Lineage: Archaea
Description: bacterial SSU rRNA
Rfam family: Archaeal small subunit ribosomal RNA
Source: RNAcentral
CCCGCCGGACCUGACUGCUAUCGGAUUGAUACUANNUCAUGCGAGUCAUUGUAGCAAUACAAGGCAUACGGCUCAGUAACGCGCAGUCAACCUAACCUAUGGACGGGAAUAACCUCGGGAAACUGAGAAUAAUGCCCGAUAGAACAUUAUGCCUGGAAUGGUUUAUGUUCCAAAUGAUUUAUCGCCGUAGGAUGGGACUGCGGCCUAUCAGUUUGUUGGUGAGGUAAUGGCCCACCAAGACUAUUACAGGUACGGGCUCUGAGAGGAGUAGCCCGGAGAUGGGUACUGAGACACGGACCCAGGCCCUAUGGGGCGCAGCAGGCGAGAAAACUUUGCAAUGUGCGAAAGCACGACAAGGUUAAUCCGAGUGGUUUCUGCUGAAGGAACCUUUUGUCAGUCUUAGAAACACUGAUGAAUAAGGGGUGGGCAAGUUCUGGUGUCAGCCGCCGCGGUAAAACCAGCACCUCAAGUGGUCAGGAUGAUUGUUGGGCCUAAAGCAUCCGUAGCCGGCUCUGUAAGUUUUCGGUUAAGUCUGUACGCUUAACGUACAGGCUGCCGGGAAUACUGCAGAGCUAGGUAGUGGGAGAGGUAGACGGUACUCGGUAGGAAGGGGUAAAAUCCUUUGAUCUAUUGAUGACCACCUGUGGCGAAGGCGGUCUACCAGAACACGUACGACGGUGAGGGAUGAAAGCUGGGGGAGCAAACCGGAUUAGAUACCCGGGUAGUCCCAGCUGUAAACUAUGCCAAACUC